GACCAUUCUGAUCAUCUAGUAUGACGUACUUGUAUAACAGAAGCCAUAGAACUUCCCCCAAAUAAUUCCUAAAACAUACCUUUUAGAAAAAAAUCCAUCUUGACUUAAAAAUUUCCAGUGGGGGAGAAUGCACCAUGAUCUUUGGUAAAUUGUCUGUUCCAAUGGUGCAC
This is a long non-coding RNA of Chelonia mydas (Green sea turtle), 170 nucleotides long. RefSeq lists it as uncharacterized. The transcript has 3 exons. The record is from RefSeq and is a predicted model, not a curated record. NCBI's taxonomy places the organism in Eukaryota, Metazoa, Chordata, Testudines, Cheloniidae.